AAUGGAUGGAAAUCUGAUCCAGCCAUGCCGCGUGCAGGAAGACUGCCCUAUGGGUUGUAAACUGCUUUUGUAUGGGAGCAAUAAGCCCUUCGUGAAGGGUGAUGAGAGUACCAUACGAAUAAGCAUCGGCUAACUCCGUGUCAGCAGCCGCGGUAAUACGGAGGAUGCAANCGUUAUCCGGAUUUAUUGGGUUUAAAGGGUGCGUAGGCGGUUGGAUAAGUCAGCGGUGAAAGUUUCCUGCUUAACAGGAAAAAUGCCGUUGAAACUGUCGGACUUGAGUGUAAAUGAGGUAGGCGGAAUGCGUGGUGUAGCGGUGAAAUGCGUAGAUAUCACGCAGAACUCCGAUUGCGAAGGCAGCUUACUAAGCUACAACUGACACUGAAGCACGAAAGCGUGGGGAUCAAA
RNAcentral lists this ribosomal RNA (405 nucleotides) under uncultured bacterium. Its description in RNAcentral is "bacterial SSU rRNA". It matches the Rfam family "Bacterial small subunit ribosomal RNA", at positions 370 to 772 of the family's 1533-position model. The record is from RNAcentral.